CCCGCUGAACUUAAGCAUAUCAAUAAGCGGAGGAAAAGAAACCAACAGGGAUUGCCUCAGUAACGGCGAGUGAAGCGGCAACAGCUCAAAUUUGAAAGCUGGCUCUUUUAGGGCCCGCGUUGUAAUUUGUAGAGGAUGCUUCGGGUGCGGCGCUGGUCUAAGUUCUUUGGAACAAGACGUCAUAGAGGGUGAGAAUCCCGUAUGUGACUGGCUGCCUGUGCCUGUGUGAAGCUCCUUCGACGAGUCGAGUUGUUUGGGAAUGCAGCUCAAAAUGGGUGGUGUACUUCAUCUAAAGCUAAAUAUUGGCCAGAGACCGAUAGCGCACAAGUAGAGUGAUCGAAAGAUGAAAAGCACUUUGGAAAGAGAGUUAAACAGUACGUGAAAUUGUUGAAAGGGAAGCGCUUGCAAUCAGACUUGCGCGGCGUCGAUCAACCUGGGUUCUCCCUGGUGCACUCGGCGCUGCUCAGGCCAGCAUCAGUUUCGGCGGUUGGAUAAAGGCCUAGGGAACGUGGGUUACUUCGGUGACUGUUAUAGCCCUAGGUGCAAUGCAGCCUGCUGGGACUGAGGACCGCGCUUCAGCUAGGAUGCUGGCGUAAUGGUUGUAAGCGACCCGUCUUGAAACACGG
RNAcentral lists this ribosomal RNA (626 nucleotides) under uncultured fungus. Its description in RNAcentral is "eukaryotic LSU rRNA". It matches the Rfam family "Eukaryotic large subunit ribosomal RNA", at positions 24 to 664 of the family's 3401-position model. Lineage: Eukaryota; Fungi. The record is from RNAcentral.